GCGGCUGUGGCGGAAUUGGCAGACGCGCAUGGUUGAGGGCCAUGUGGAGAAAUCCGUGGUGGUUCGAGUCCACUCAGCCGCA
This 82-nucleotide transfer RNA is filed under the name Planctomycetales bacterium. Its description in RNAcentral is "tRNA-Leu". It matches the Rfam family "tRNA". From Rfam's summary of the family: Transfer RNA (tRNA) molecules are approximately 80 nucleotides in length. Their secondary structure includes four short double-helical elements and three loops (D, anti-codon, and T loops). Further hydrogen bonds mediate the characteristic L-shaped molecular structure. tRNAs have two regions of fundamental functional importance: the anti-codon, which is responsible for specific mRNA codon recognition, and the 3' end, to which the tRNAs corresponding amino acid is attached (by aminoacyl-tRNA synthetases). tRNAs cope with the degeneracy of the genetic code in two manners: having more than one tRNA (with a specific anti-codon) for a particular amino acid; and 'wobble' base-pairing, i.e. permitting non-standard base-pairing at the 3rd anti-codon position. The record is from RNAcentral. Lineage: Bacteria; Pseudomonadati; Planctomycetota; Planctomycetia; Planctomycetales.